GACUGAUUGGCGCAACGGUAGCGCGUUCGACUCCAGGUGCUUGGAAGACAAGUCGUGAAAUCGAAAGGCUGGGCGUUCGAAUCGCUCAUCGGUCA
Molecule: transfer RNA, 95 nt
Filed under: Drechslerella stenobrocha 248
Lineage: Eukaryota; Fungi; Ascomycota; Orbiliomycetes; Orbiliales; Orbiliaceae
Rfam family: tRNA
About the family: Transfer RNA (tRNA) molecules are approximately 80 nucleotides in length.
Source: Rfam by way of RNAcentral